AGAGUUUGAUCCUGGCUCAGAUUGAACGCUGGCGGCAGGCCUCACACAUGCAAGUCGAACGGUAACAGGAAGCAGCUUGCUGCUUCGCUGACGAGUGGCGGACGGGUGAGUAAUGUCUGGGAAACUGCCCGAUGGAGGGGGAUAACUACUGGAAACGGUAGCUAAUACCGCAUAACGUCGCAAGACCAAAGAGGGGGACCUUCGGGCCUCUUGCCAUCGGAUGUGCCCAGAUGGGAUUAGCUUGUUGGUGAGGUAACGGCUCACCAAGGCGACGAUCCCUAGCUGGUCUGAGAGGAUGACCAGCCACACUGGAACUGAGACACGGUCCAGACUCCUACGGGAGGCAGCAGUGGGGAAUAUUGCACAAUGGGCGCAAGCCUGAUGCAGCCAUGCCGCGUGUAUGAAGAAGGCCUUCGGGUUGUAAAGUACUUUCAGCGGGGAGGAAGGGGUUAAGGUUAAUAACCUUAACCAUUGACGUUACCCGCAGAAGAAGCACCGGCUAACUCCGUGCCAGCAGCCGCGGUAAUACGGAGGGUGCAAGCGUUAAUCGGAAUUACUGGGCGUAAAGCGCACGCA
RNAcentral lists this ribosomal RNA (576 nucleotides) under uncultured bacterium. Its description in RNAcentral is "bacterial SSU rRNA". It matches the Rfam family "Bacterial small subunit ribosomal RNA", at positions 8 to 573 of the family's 1533-position model. The record is from RNAcentral.